Long non-coding RNA from Cavia porcellus (domestic guinea pig), 1251 nucleotides. RefSeq lists it as uncharacterized. The record is from RefSeq and is a predicted model, not a curated record. The transcript is spliced from 3 exons. NCBI's taxonomy places the organism in Eukaryota, Metazoa, Chordata, Mammalia, Rodentia, Caviidae.
CUUUCAGUUAACAAGGGGUGUUGAAGACACACUAUCUUGAUGCCUUCAAGUAGCAUCAAAGUUUCAAUGGUAGUAAACUAUAGUGGGGUAUCGUGAUUGUCAUGUACCUAUUCAACCUGAUAUCCUAUUAAAUCUGUAUUUCCCACCUGGUUAUAGGUUGCUCCAUGCUUUCAUGUGCUAAGAAUUUUGUGUUCUCAAAUGGCCUGUAAGCACAUACAAGGCAGCCACAGUCACCUUAUGGUGAGUCUUUCCUGGUCCCAUCCCUCUCUCACCACUUCCACCCCACUUUUGGCACAGUGGGGAGAGGGGAUAAUUGAUCAUUCUCACAAAUCCUUCUUGAACUUCUAAAAUAUUUUCUGGUGAUCCACACAAGCCAUAUGGGGCCCAGGAAGAGAGAAGUCAGCACUCCCUGAGAAUCGGCCAUGCUGGGACUGGGUGGAGCCCACCAACAAUCCAACUAGCCAGCCUUUCUGGUAAGCUGUGCAAGCCAUGUGAUGCCCAGGAAGAGUGAAGCCACACCAUGCCUCCAGGGAGCCUUCCUCCAGGGACUGAGCAUCACCAACUCCUUCUCCCCCGCAGGAAGCAACCGGCUGGUUCCCUGGACAGGCUGAGUUGAUAGCAACUGAGGACUUUAAGCUGGUUAAUGGAAUCAAGGAUUACCUGCUUCUUGAUACUGACCCAUUUCUACAAAUACGCUGGAGAAAAUGUAUACACACGUGAAAGAAAAGUUAACGCAAAUGAAUACAACUUCUCAAAGACUUGACCUCAAACCACAAGAAGAAUGUUAAUGGUGUGGCUGAAUGAACCAUGUGGAGAAGACUCUGUGUGUGACUUACAUUUUUGGCAUUAAUGCCCCAAGUAUUGUUGUCAUCAUAGCACCAUUUCAGCUUUUUCUAUGCUGCUUUUCUGAAAUCCAAAGGUUGGAGACAGAGAUACUGUACUUGAGACUUUUUUGAAGUUUUAUUUUUAUCAAGGAGAAUAUAGCUGGCCCAAGAAACCCAUCCUCAAGAGGGGAUUCUGUAAUCUCAGUACUCUGGACAAGCUGAAGCAGGAGGAUCAUAAGUUUGAACCCAGUUUGAGCAACUUAGCAAGAGCCUUUCUCACAGAAAUUCAAAUUGUUUAUUUGUGACUCACAACCAAGAAUAAUCUUAACAGUUUGGUAUAACAUUGAAGAAUAAAGUAAGGCUGUAAAUUGUAAGGAAAUGAGAAGAUGUUGUUAACACUGAGGAAAGAAAACAGUAACGAUAGGAA